This 1341-nucleotide ribosomal RNA is filed under the name uncultured bacterium. RNAcentral describes it as "partial 16S ribosomal RNA". It matches the Rfam family "Bacterial small subunit ribosomal RNA", at positions 28 to 1381 of the family's 1533-position model. The record is from RNAcentral.
GACGAAUUCUGGCGGCGUGCUUAACACAUGCAAGUCGAACGGUAAGGCUCCAGCUUGCUGGGGUACACGAGUGGCGAACGGGUGAGUAACACGUGGGUGACCUGCCCUGCACUUCGGGAUAAGCCUGGGAAACUGGGUCUAAUACCGGAUAGGACCGCACCGUGAGGGUGUGGUGGAAAGUUUUUUCAGUGUGGGAUGGGCCCGCGGCCUAUCAGCUUGUUGGUGGGGUAAUGGCCUACCAAGGCGGCGACGGGUAGCCGGCCUGAGAGGGUGGACGGCCACAUUGGGACUGAGACACGGCCCAGACUCCUACGGGAGGCAGCAGUGGGGAAUAUUGCACAAUGGGCGGAAGCCUGAUGCAGCGACGCCGCGUGGGGGAUGACGGCCUUCGGGUUGUAAACUCCUUUCACCAUCGACGAAGGGUUUCUGACGGUAGAUGGAGAAGAAGCACCGGCUAACUACGUGCCAGCAGCCGCGGUAAUACGUAGGGUGCGAGCGUUGUCCGGAAUUACUGGGCGUAAAGAGCUCGUAGGUGGUUUGUCGCGUCGUCUGUGAAAUUCCGGGGCUUAACUCCGGGCGUGCAGGCGAUACGGGCAUAACUUGAGUACUGUAGGGGAGACUGGAAUUCCUGGUGUAGCGGUGAAAUGCGCAGAUAUCAGGAGGAACACCGGUGGCGAAGGCGGGUCUCUGGGCAGUAACUGACGCUGAGGAGCGAAAGCAUGGGGAGCGAACAGGAUUAGAUACCCUGGUAGUCCAUGCCGUAAACGGUGGGCGCUAGGUGUGGGUUUCCUUCCACGGGAUCCGUGCCGUAGCUAACGCAUUAAGCGCCCCGCCUGGGGAGUACGGCCGCAAGGCUAAAACUCAAAGGAAUUGACGGGGGCCCGCACAAGCGGCGGAGCAUGUGGAUUAAUUCGAUGCAACGCGAAGAACCUUACCUGGGCUUGACAUAUACAGGAUCGCGCCAGAGAUGGUGUUUCCCUUGUGGCUUGUAUACAGGUGGUGCAUGGUUGUCGUCAGCUCGUGUCGUGAGAUGUUGGGUUAAGUCCCGCAACGAGCGCAACCCUUGUCUUAUGUUGCCAGCACGUUGUGGUGGGGACUCGUAAGAAACUGCCGGGGUUAACUCGGAGGAAGGUGGGGACGACGUCAAAUCAUCAUGCCCCUUAUGUCCAGGGCUUCACACAUGCUACAAUGGUCGGUACAGUGGGUUGCCAGUCCGUGAGGGCGAGCUAAUCCCGCAAAGCCGGUCUCAGUUCGGAUCGGGGUCUGCAACUCGACCCCGCGAAGUCGGAGUCGCUAGUAAUCGCAGAUCAGCAACGCUGCGGUGAAUACGUUCCCGGGCCU